This 465-nucleotide ribosomal RNA is filed under the name Vreelandella stevensii. RNAcentral's name for it is "partial 16S ribosomal RNA". It matches the Rfam family "Bacterial small subunit ribosomal RNA", at positions 338 to 795 of the family's 1533-position model. Lineage: Bacteria; Pseudomonadati; Pseudomonadota; Gammaproteobacteria; Oceanospirillales; Halomonadaceae. The record is from RNAcentral.
CCUACGGGAGGCUGCAGUGGGGAAUAUUGGACAAUGGGCGAAAGCCUGAUCCAGCCAUGCCGCGUGUGUGAAGAAGGCCUUCGGGUUGUAAAGCACUUUCAGUGGGGAAGAAAGCCUUGGGGCUAAUACCCUCGAGGAAGGACAUCACCCACAGAAGAAGCACCGGCUAACUCCGUGCCAGCAGCCGCGGUAAUACGGAGGGUGCGAGCGUUAAUCGGAAUUACUGGGCGUAAAGCGCGCGUAGGCGGUCUGAUAAGCCGGUUGUGAAAGCCCCGGGCUCAACCUGGGAACGGCAUCCGGAACGGUCAGGCUAGAGGGCAGUAGAGGUAGGUAGAAUUCCCGGUGUAGCGGUGAAAUGCGUAGAGAUCGGGAGGAAUACCAGUGGCGAAGGCGGCCUUCUGGACUGACACUGACGCUGAGGUGCGAAAGCGUGGGUAGCAAACAGGAUUAGAUACCCCGGUAGUC